UCACUCUCUCUCUAGUUUUUGAGAGGGAAGGACUUGGCUGCCUAGGAGCUGAGCAGGGACCUGUGGUAUAGCAGCACUGGAAGAGAGGCAAGAGGGGCUGGGGAGUUCCAGCCUGACACCCCCCCAGGCUGCAGGCCUUGUGCGGGGCCUAAACCAGCUCACCUGAUCCUGAUCAAUAACCCAUUGGGGAACCUUCCAGUGGGACCAACUUUUUAAUUUAUCUCCCAAUUUCCUCUCUGGAGACCAGGCAUCAGAUCUAAUUACUGUGCCUGUUUGCUGCAUUUUCACCUCCUGCAUUUUCUCCCUCUCCUGAGCAUUGGGAGGAUAUUAUACUUCCUGACGGGGAAGCAAAGUUUUAACAAUGCAAAGGAAAGGCUUAAUACAGGCCCUGUAGAUGCAAGGUGCAAAAUAACACUCUGUCCUUCCAGAGCAAGGGGAGAGAGUGUGUGCGUGCAUGAGAGAACUAUUCAUUGGAGAGGCAACAGCAUGCUCAGACCAACAAAUGUGACAGGGACACAAGGACGGACUAGACAGGUGGCUGGAAGGAUGAGCUGACAAAUUGGAUGCAGAGUCUAAUGCAUGGGACAACUGGACAAAGAGGAAAGAAAGCAAGAAUGAAUCGCAUUAAGUGUGAUUCCAUAAACUCUGAGAGAUCAUGAGUCCUCCCUCUGUUUAAUAGCCAUAGGCUUGGAUUUCCAAAAGAGCCUCAGCCACUGAAAUUCAAGGGGAAUUGGGAACCUAGGCUUCUUUGAAUAUCCUUUGCUCCCCAGUUUCUGAAAUCCAGUGUUUGUGACAUUCUCCCCUGUAAAUACCAGCCCAAGGACUAACCCACUGAAAUGAAAUCAACAAACUGAACAGCUGACCAGGUUCUGCUGACUUUUAAUGAUAUAAUAGUGCCCAGAUAUGGCAGUGAUUGGUACUUUAGAAAUGCAGAUAUUGGUUACAGUACCUGUUAAAUGGCUAAAUCAGGGUGUGCCAAUUGACAGCAGAGCUAAACAAUUACACCUUUUUCUGUGUGGUUAAAGUGAAUUCCUUAUCAGACGGCUGAAGCUGCCCAGACAUCAGAUUUACUGGAAUGCUGCACCUUGCCCUCACCUUUGUUGUCUGGGGAGGUCUCAGCCAGUGGACUUAUAAAGGAUGUUUUGUAAAGUAUUGCUAACAGGAAAGGCAGCAAAGCAGAGGUGUCCACAGCUCUGACUGAGUCAGCUGCCACGGAGCUGAGCCACCAACAUACCAGGGAGCAGCUACCACUAUCUGCAAAGUCAAUACCCUGUCGGAUGGAUUAAAGGAAGGAAAAUCAGAGACAUCCACAGAAUCUUCUUCGACUCAGUGCAAGGUGCUACUCGGCUGAAAACACAAUAGCCAGAUGCGCUCUUCAAACCACUGGAGGCUGAGAGGGCUGAGACCAGUCUACACUAGAAACUUUUGCUGGUCUAGCAAUGUCAGUUAGGGGGUGGGGUGAUUUAUAACUAUAUCAGUAAACCCUUUCUUGUGUAGACUAAGCCUGAGCUGGUGCAGUCUCGGUGAAGGUUCAAAGAAGGACAUGCUGCUCAUGUCUUGCAGCUGACGGAAGUGUAGUGGUACAGCUUUGGAAAGGGGUCUUUGCCCUCUUGGUUGGAGGUAGAGUGCAGGGGAAGGCAGCUGAAGAAGACCAGACAGGGCAAUAUGCAGAGCAGCUGACACAGCCAAUGACCCACCCACCUCCAAUCCCACUCCAUACAUCACACCCUUCAUACAAAUGCAUCUCCAAAGGCUUAUUAAGGGCCUUAAUUGGCACACAGCAGCUGCAGAGGAGACAAAGAGCAGGGGGGAAGGAAGAGAGAUUGAUCUUCAGCUUAGAUUUGAAAUGAGCCAGAGUUGAUGAGAUAGAGAUACCAUCUGGGAAGGCUAGAUGGCAGCAGGGGAAAAGGAGGAGGCUCUCGCACCAAGAGUGACAAGACUGGUGUGACGAGACAGAGGGGGUCAGUGUUAGACAAGCAGAGGGAGCAGAAAGAGGAGAGGGAGAAUAGAAAAGGCCAUGAAAACGAAGGACCUUCUCUGAAGCCCACUGAGUCUUUCUACUGACUUCAGUGGGCUUUGCAGGGCAAUUCUGAACUGUAUCCGGAAAUCAAGAGGGAGUCAAGUUGCUGGCUGCAGAGUGGGGUGACGUUCAUGUUUUUAUCUGAGGGAGAAUGUGGGUCACAGGCAUUCUGGACAUGUUGGAGUCAGGAGGGCUGGCUUGGUCUCAGUGCUAAUUAUUGGCAUAAGGAAUCUUGAAUAGGUUAUAGAACGCUACAGGACAAAGCAAUAAAGAAUCCUGGCCCAUC
Molecule: long non-coding RNA, 2306 nt
Organism: Chelonia mydas (Green sea turtle)
Lineage: Eukaryota; Metazoa; Chordata; Testudines; Cheloniidae
Exons: 2
Source: RefSeq, a predicted model, not a curated record